AUUGAGGAAACCAUCAACAAUUAGGCAAGAAGUCCACACGUACACAGCAUAACGGCUAGAAUUUCAAGAUAAGCUUGACCGGUACCCAACAAUAGUAACAUGUAGUAAUAGGCUAGGCAAACCGUUUUAACUUACAACCGACAAAAUCUCUUUCUCGGAGAUCCGAACUCAGCUCUUUCAAAAUUAACAACCUCUCUUCUCUCUCAACAGAUCUUAUUACCGGCUCCCACAAAUCUGUUGUCAUGGUCAGAGCUAUGAACUGGGUUCAACAUAUUCUGGUGAUCGUGUUGAUGUGGUUCAUCUUCUACAAUGGAUCGCGAUAUGUCACUGACUUUUGCAAGAGGCAUCUGUGGUGAAUCCCA
This is a long non-coding RNA of Populus euphratica (Euphrates poplar), 362 nucleotides long. RefSeq lists it as uncharacterized. The record is from RefSeq and is a predicted model, not a curated record. Lineage: Eukaryota; Viridiplantae; Streptophyta; Magnoliopsida; Malpighiales; Salicaceae. The transcript has 3 exons.